This 301-nucleotide ribosomal RNA is filed under the name uncultured bacterium. Its description in RNAcentral is "partial 16S ribosomal RNA". It matches the Rfam family "Bacterial small subunit ribosomal RNA", at positions 509 to 807 of the family's 1533-position model. The record is from RNAcentral.
CAGUCGCCGCGGUAAUACAGAGGGUGCGAGCGUUAAUCGGAUUUACUGGGCGUAAAGCGUGCGUAGGCGGCUAAUUGAGUCGGAUGUGAAAUCCCCGAGCUUAACUUGGGAAUUGCAUUCGAUACUGGUUAGCUAGAGUGUGGGAGAGGAUGGUAGAAUUCCAGGUGUAGCGGUGAAAUGCGUAGAGAUCUGGAGGAAUACCGAUGGCGAAGGCAGCCAUCUGGCCUAACACUGACGCUGAGGUACGAAAGCAUGGGGAGCAAACAGGAUUAGAUACCCCAGUAGUCCCUGCCUCUUAUAC